RNAcentral lists this ribosomal RNA (409 nucleotides) under bacterium. RNAcentral describes it as "partial 16S ribosomal RNA". It matches the Rfam family "Bacterial small subunit ribosomal RNA", at positions 355 to 776 of the family's 1533-position model. The record is from RNAcentral.
UGGGGAAUAUUGCACAAUGGGCGAAAGCCUGAUGCAGCGACGCCGCGUGAGGGAUGACGGCCUUCGGGUUGUAAACCUCUUUCAGUAGGGACGAAGCGCAAGUGACGGUACCUGCAGAAGAAGCACCGGCUAACUACGUGCCUGCAGCCGCGGUAAUACGUAGGGUGCGAGCGUUGUCCGGAAUUACUGGGCGUAAAGAGCUCGUAGGCGGUUUGUCACGUCGUCUGUGAAAUCCUAGGGCUUAACCCUGGACGUGCAGGCGAUACGGGCUGACUUGAGUACUACAGGGGAGACUGGAAUUUCUGGUGUAGCGGUGGAAUGCACAGAUAUCAGGAAGAACACCGAUGGCGAAGGCAGGUCUCUGGGUAGUAACUGACGCUGAGGAGCGAAAGCAUGGGUAGCGAACAGG